RNAcentral lists this long non-coding RNA (3990 nucleotides) under Malus domestica (apple). RNAcentral's name for it is "long non-coding RNA (MDOM_LNC009492)". Lineage: Eukaryota; Viridiplantae; Streptophyta; Magnoliopsida; Rosales; Rosaceae. The record is from RNAcentral.
AAAGAGAAAUGUUAAAAGACACUCUUACAAAGAGAGUCUCUGUUAUUUCAUAUUUUUGGCAUACUGUUUUAUAAUGUUGAUAUGAAAACUUUGUUAAAAACAUGAGGCGACGGAGAGUUUAUAUAAAGUUUUACUUUUAAGCUCCUUAAUUAGCAUUUCUCGUAAAGAAAUUAUUAAUCAUGUAUCACCUAAAAAAAAAAAAAUAAGAAAAUGAUAUUUAUGAUUUUUUCCACUUGCAUAACACAAAUAUUUAUGCUUUUAAAAUGAUUAAAAGCGUUUUUAGAUUUGGUUCCAAAAACACUUAAAGUGCUUUAUGCAAGAAGCAAAAGUUAUGUGUUUUUUCCAGGAAGCACUUUUAAUGAUUUUCCAGAAUUUACUUACAUUUUUACUAAGGAUUGGUUCCAAAAACAUUUUUACCAAAAGCGCUUUUAGUCAUUUUAAAAGCACAUUCAAACGAACUCUAAAAGUGUUAUAGUAAAUCAUCUAUUACCCAAAAAAUAAGGAAAUGAUAUUUAUGAUUUCUUCUACUUACAUAACUCAAAUAAUUAAGUGUUUUCUCUGUAUGUAGAAUCUUGAAUACUUCUUGCCCCCCCUAUCAUUUGAAUCUAAGCCAUAUUUCGCUCCUCCUGUCGGCUCUAAAACCGUGGUUGUAGAUUGUUUUUUUUUUUUGGAAAUCGGUUGUAGAUUGUUUUGGUGGAAAAAGUAUUGCUUGAAGCCACAUAUAAAAAGAGAAUUUUUUUUAUAGAUGAACUAAAUAAAUUAUACAACUACUCUCCGGAAAAAAAAAAUUAUAUAACUACUAGAUUGGGGUUUUGUGUGAACAAGAAAUCAAAAUAUGCAUACAUAUAAGAUCCUUUGACAUCAUUUACUAUUUAAAAAGCUUCAUGAGGAAACAUUGAUGGUAUUUUUUAUUAUCAGAUUUUGUCUUUUCUCAACACUUAAGUUUAAAUACUAAGUUUAUAAAAAAUUGAUGUUUUAUGGCAGUGACAGCAAAUAAUUAUGUAUAUGCAUUCUUGUGCUGCUUGACCUCCAGUGUACUUCUUUCUCUUAACAACUAACAAUUUAACUCACUAAUGCUAUCAUUUGUUAAAAAAUAAUAAUAUAAGUUUGUAACUAUUUUCUCCAAAUAUGCAUAAAGGUGAGGAAAUAUUUUUGUAUUGUUUUAUUUGUUAUGUGGUUUGGUAACACUUGUUAUAAUGUUAUCAGGGUAUGCUAUUUAUACAUCAUUUUUUUACUUCUCACACACUCUUAUUAAUUAUAGUUUAUUGAUCUUUUUCAAUUCAUUCGAUGACCGAAAUCAAAAGCGUGUAAGAAGUAAAAAUAUGUGAGUGGAUAGCACCACCCUAUUAUUAUCUCUCUCUCUCUCAUGAUUCACAAUAUGGUUUUUGAGUUACAAGCAAGUCCCUCCAAGUUAUUAAGUAGUCCCUCCAAGUUCUUAAGUUGGCUUAUUUUAUUCAGUUUUUGAUACAAAUAAAGCUUCAAAUUUUAUCAAAAUAGAGAAGAAAUCAAGUGUUGAGGGAUUUUUCAGACGUACAAUACAUGAAACAUCAACCGAUCCAGGUUAUUCACGAAAACUUCUUCCCAUAAGAGUGCCUCUAAACAAUAUAUAUAUAUAUAUAUAUAUAUAUAUAUAUAUAUAUAAAACCUUUAAGGGAAGGAUCCCUAAUUUUCUUUUAUAAAAAUGGGGAUUAGUAGUGGGGUGGGAGUGCCUCUAAACAAUAAAUAAAUAAAUAUAUAUAUAUAUAUAUAUAUAUAUAUAUAUAAAACCUUUAAGGGAAGGAUCCCUAAUUUUCUUUUAUAAAAAUGUGGAUUAGUAGUGGGGUCUACACCACAUCGAACUUUAAUGAUCUGAACCAUCUAUUUUUCAAGUUGUACCUCAUAGAUCAUCAACCUACCCACUCGCUUGACUUUCUUACCUCUCCGAGAAAGGAGGUACUCGAUUGUUUUUGGGAACGUGAGUGGGGAGGACACUUUAGGAGAAGUGACCCGAUGUAUGUUGGGGGAACAACUCUAUCUACCUGAAGCUAAACAUAGAGCUUCCUAUAUUAACCAAAUCGGAAAUGUUUAGAACAUCUAAUUGGGUUCAAAGAAAUUAACAAUACUUUGUUAUAUAAAAAACAAUGAAAUUUUAUCUUGAUAAUUAAACAGGCAAAUGGUUUUGGAUUGAAAUGAAUUUUUGUAAGGAUGAUCUAUGAAUCGAUAUUUAUAAAAUAGACUGUUCGGAUUGUUGAGAUUCAUUGUGGAGUGGACCCCACACGUAAUCCCCAUUUUAAAAAAAAUAUGAGGAUCCCUUUGCAUACAGGUGUGUGUGUGUGGGGAUUCUUUUAACUAAGAGUGUCGCCUAACCAAUAUUGUAAUUUGUACAUAAAAAAAAAUAAAAAAAUAAAGUUAGCCACCAUGAAGAAAGGACAGGGAAACUGCAUGUUUCAAAUUUCAUUUAUAACUCAAAAUUUUAGCUACGUUCCUUGGAAUUCGAUUCAUUUUGCCUCUUAUAAUUCAAAAGUCAUUAUUUUACUCUUUAAAACUCAAAAUUCGUUUCACUUUACCAUGUUUCCUUUCCUUCAUUGUCAAAUUCGCUCCAUUUUAAUCUCACAUUGUCUCCUGUAAUUCAUUUUUUAUCUCACUUUACCCCCAUAAAACUAAAAAAUUGUCAAUUUAAUCCAUGAAACUCAAAAUUCGCUCCACAUUACUUUAAUAUGUUAAUUCCAUUCAAAAGCCAUCAAAUAUCCUAACAUGGAUUAAAAAAUGCAUAUGUGAAAAAAAAAGCAAGAUUCAAAGCAUUCUAAGUUUGUUUUGAACUUCUCCCUCUCUUUCUCUAAGAUUAAUUUUGCUAUCAAUAGAACUGGAACAAAUUUCAUUAUGUGAAUUUACUUUGGGUGCAACAGGCUAAUCAAUUUCUUCUUUAUUUUUCUUUUCAGAUCUCUGCAACUCAAGCACAGCAACCCACAAAAAUUUCAAUCCUUAACUUUUUCUUUUAAACUUACUAUUUUCUUACUAUUAAAUGUUAGUGUAUAGAGGAGAUUUAUAAUCAAACACAUCUACAUUAUGCAUUAACUUUCAACAAUUCAUUGUGGAGGUUUAUAAAACGAUGAUUUUGAGUUUCAGGGUGCAAAGUGGAAUCAAAAUCAAGUUUUAGAGGCAAAUUGAGAUCAUAAUCGAGUUCAUAAGCUUAUGAUAUUACAUUUUUACUCAUCCAUGUUGGCAACUUUAACGACGAUUUGACAGAAGAAAUAAAAAGAUAAUAAAGUGGGACAAAUUUAAAAUUUCAAUAAUAACUUUUAAAUUACAAAGUAUAAAAUAAAAUGAAAAUCAAAUUUUAAAUAGCGUAACUAAAAUAAGCCCAUAUUGUAAGAUAUCUGAAUGAAAAAGUGAAACCUCUCUUACGCAUGAAAUUAUCAUUUCAAUAGUGCUGGUAAUUAAAGUUUUUGACCAAUAAUGCCUAAAUAUUACCGACGCUUUAAAAUUCUAUUCUUUAAUUUCUUACAGAACUUGGAGCGCUGUACAUGCCAAAUUUGUGGGCCUGUGGUUUUGUACUUUGUGCACUCUUAUAACUUGGCGCGUUUACUAAUUCAUAAUCAAAUUGAAAGGAAUUGGAUUGAGGGGGAAUUUGAUUGAGAAUGAAUUGAAAUGAGGUGGAAUCAAAAUUUGAUUCCUGUUGAAAUUGUUUACUAAAACUGUCAGGAAUCGGAAUAGGAAUGAUGUUGAAUCCAUAUAAAUUGUUUACUAAUUCAUUUCAAUCGGAAUGAAAACUAGGUUGAUUACUAUAUUGCCCUUACAUAAAUAAAUUAUUUUCAUACUAAUUAAUUAAAUUAAAUUCUUAAUUAAAUUUAUAUAAUAAAAUUCAUCUAUAUAAGCAUGUAUAAAUAGGUUUUAUUUAUUUAUUAAAAGAUGGCAAGAAUGAUGUUGAGUUCAUAUAAUUUGUUUACUAAUUCACUUCAAUCGGAAUGAUAACUAAGUUGAUGACUAAAUUAACCUUACAUAAAUAAAUUA